GACGAACGCUGGCGGCGCGCCUAACACAUGCAAGUCGAACGAGCGAGAGAGAGCUUGCUUUCUCGAGCGAGUGGCGAACGGGUGAGUAACGCGUGAGGAACCUGCCUCAAAGAGGGGGACAACAGUUGGAAACGACUGCUAAUACCGCAUAAGCCCACGGGUCGACAUCGACCAGAGGGAAAAGGAGCAAUCCGCUUUGAGAUGGCCUCGCGUCCGAUUAGCUAGUUGGUGAGGUAAUGGCCCACCAAGGCGACGAUCGGUAGCCGGACUGAGAGGUUGAACGGCCACAUUGGGACUGAGACACGGCCCAGACUCCUACGGGAGGCAGCAGUGGGGAAUAUUGCACAAUGGGGGAAACCCUGAUGCAGCGACGCCGCGUGGAGGAAGAAGGUCUUCGGAUUGUAAACUCCUGUUGUUGAGGAAGAUAAUGACGGUACUCAACAAGGAAGUGACGGCUAACUACGUGCCAGCAGCCGCGGUAAAACGUAGGUCACAAGCGUUGUCCGGAAUUACUGGGUGUAAAGGGAGCGCAGGCGGGAGAACAAGUUGGGAGUGAAAUCCAUGGGCUCAACCCAUGAACUGCUUUCAAAACUGUUUUUCUUGAGUAGUGCAGAGGUAGGCGGAAUUCCCGGUGUAGCGGUGGAAUGCGUAGAUAUCGGGAGGAACACCAGUGGCGAAGGCGGCCUACUGGGCACCAACUGACGCUGAGGCUCGAAAGUGUGGGUAGCAAACAGGAUUAGAUACCCUGGUAGUCCACACCGUAAACGAUGAUUACUAGGUGUUGGAGGAUUGACCCCUUCAGUGCCGCAGUUAACACAAUAAGUAAUCCACCUGGGGAGUACGACCGCAAGGUUGAAACUCAAAGGAAUUGACGGGGGCCCGCACAAGCAGUGGAGUAUGUGGUUUAAUUCGACGCAACGCGAAGAGCCUUACCAAGUCUUGACAUCCCUUGACGAUGCUGGAAACAGUAUUUCUCUUCGGAGCAAGGAGACAGGUGGUGCAUGGUUGUCGUCAGCUCGUGUCGUGAGAUGUUGGGUUAAGUCCCGCAACGAGCGCAACCCUUAUGGUCAGUUACUACGCAAGAGGACUCUGGCCAGACUGCCGUUGACAAAACGGAGGAAGGUGGGGAUGACGUCAAAUCAUCAUGCCCUUUAUGACUUGGGCUACACACGUACUACAAUGGCGUUAAACAAAGAGAAGCUAAGACCGCGAGGUGGAGCUAAACUCAGAAACAACGUCCCAGUUCGGACUGCAGGCUGCAACUCGCCUGCACGAAGUCGGAAUUGCUAGUAAUCGUGGAUCAGCAUGCCACGGUGAAUACGUUUCCCGGGCCU
RNAcentral lists this ribosomal RNA (1334 nucleotides) under uncultured bacterium. RNAcentral describes it as "bacterial SSU rRNA". It matches the Rfam family "Bacterial small subunit ribosomal RNA", at positions 28 to 1381 of the family's 1533-position model. The record is from RNAcentral.